GGAAGGGUGGCUGAGUGGUUGAAGGCACCUGACUCGAAAUCAGGAGUAGGCGCAAGCCUACCGUGGGUUCGAAUCCCACCCCUUCCGCCA
RNAcentral lists this transfer RNA (90 nucleotides) under Limisphaerales bacterium. Its description in RNAcentral is "Verrucomicrobia subdivision 3 bacterium (hot springs metagenome) tRNA-Ser". It matches the Rfam family "tRNA". From Rfam's summary of the family: Transfer RNA (tRNA) molecules are approximately 80 nucleotides in length. Their secondary structure includes four short double-helical elements and three loops (D, anti-codon, and T loops). Further hydrogen bonds mediate the characteristic L-shaped molecular structure. tRNAs have two regions of fundamental functional importance: the anti-codon, which is responsible for specific mRNA codon recognition, and the 3' end, to which the tRNAs corresponding amino acid is attached (by aminoacyl-tRNA synthetases). tRNAs cope with the degeneracy of the genetic code in two manners: having more than one tRNA (with a specific anti-codon) for a particular amino acid; and 'wobble' base-pairing, i.e. permitting non-standard base-pairing at the 3rd anti-codon position. The record is from RNAcentral. Lineage: Bacteria; Pseudomonadati; Verrucomicrobiota; Verrucomicrobiia; Limisphaerales.